This 303-nucleotide ribosomal RNA is filed under the name uncultured bacterium. RNAcentral's name for it is "partial 16S ribosomal RNA". It matches the Rfam family "Bacterial small subunit ribosomal RNA", at positions 507 to 809 of the family's 1533-position model. The record is from RNAcentral.
AGCAGUCGCCGCGGUAAUACGUAGGGUGCAAGCGUUAAUCGGAAUUACUGGGCGUAAAGCGUGCGCAGGCGGUUAUAUAAGUCAGAUGUGAAAUCCCCGGGCUCAACCUGGGAACUGCAUUUGAGACUGUAUGGCUAGAGUGUGUCAGAGGGGGGUAGAAUUCCACGUGUAGCAGUGAAAUGCGUAGAGAUGUGGAGGAACACCGAUGGCGAAGGCAGCCCCCUGGGCCAAUACCGACGCUCAUGCACGAAAGCGUGGGGAGCAAACAGGAUUAGAUACCCGGGUAGUCCCUGUCUCUUAUAA